RNAcentral lists this ribosomal RNA (596 nucleotides) under uncultured Bacteroidota bacterium. Its description in RNAcentral is "bacterial SSU rRNA". It matches the Rfam family "Bacterial small subunit ribosomal RNA", at positions 320 to 916 of the family's 1533-position model. The record is from RNAcentral. Lineage: Bacteria; Pseudomonadati; Bacteroidota.
UGAGACACGGUCCAAACUCCUACGGGAGGCAGCAGUGAGGAAUAUUGGUCAAUGGACGAGAGUCUGAACCAGCCAAGUAGCGUGAAGGAUGAAGGUCCUACGGAUUGUAAACUUCUUUUAUAAGGGAAUAAACCCUCCCACGUGUGGGAGCUUGUAUGUACCUUAUGAAUAAGCAUCGGCUAACUCCGUGCCAGCAGCCGCGGUAAUACGGAGGAUGCGAGCGUUAUCCGGAUUUAUUGGGUUUAAAGGGAGCGCAGACGGGUCGUUAAGUCAGCUGUGAAAGUUUGGGGCUCAACCUUAAAAUUGCAGUUGAUACUGGCGUCCUUGAGUGCGGUUGAGGUGUGCGGAAUUCGUGGUGUAGCGGUGAAAUGCUUAGAUAUCACGAAGAACUCCGAUUGCGAAGGCAGCACACUAAUCCGUAACUGACGUUCAUGCUCGAAAGUGUGGGUAUCAAACAGGAUUAGAUACCCUGGUAGUCCACACGGUAAACGAUGGAUACUCGCUGUUGGCGAUAUACUGUCAGCGGCUUAGCGAAAGCGUUAAGUAUCCCACCUGGGGAGUACGCCGGCAACGGUGCAACUCAAAUGAAUUGACGG